GGGCGAAUGACGGAAUGGCAUACGUGUUAGAUUCAAAAUCUAAAUUUUGUGGGUUCAAAUCCCACUUCGCCUA
RNAcentral lists this transfer RNA (73 nucleotides) under Caudoviricetes sp. RNAcentral's name for it is "tRNA-Leu". It matches the Rfam family "tRNA". Rfam says of the family: Transfer RNA (tRNA) molecules are approximately 80 nucleotides in length. The record is from RNAcentral. Lineage: Duplodnaviria; Heunggongvirae; Uroviricota; Caudoviricetes.